Molecule: ribosomal RNA, 345 nt
Filed under: Anaplasma bovis
Lineage: Bacteria; Pseudomonadati; Pseudomonadota; Alphaproteobacteria; Rickettsiales; Anaplasmataceae
Description: bacterial SSU rRNA
Rfam family: Bacterial small subunit ribosomal RNA
Source: RNAcentral
AUUAGUGGCAGACGGGUGAGUAAUGCAUAGGAAUCUACCUAGUAGUAUAGGAUAGCCACUAGAAGUGGUGGGUAAUACUGUAUAAUCCCUGCGGGGGAAAGAUUUAUCGCUACAUGAUGAGCCUAUGUUAGAUUAGCUAGUUGGUGGGGUAAUGGCCUACCAAGGCAGUGAUCUAUAGCUGGUCUGAGAGGAUGAUCAGCCACACUGGAACUGAGACACGGUCCAGACUCCUACGGGAGGCAGCAGUGGGGAAUAUUGGACAAUGGGCGCAAGCCUGAUCCAGCUAUGCCGCGUGAGUGAGGAAGGCCUUAGGGUUGUAAAACUCUUUCAGUAGGGAAGAUAAUG